Bos taurus (domestic cattle) is the source of this 820-nucleotide long non-coding RNA. The record is from Ensembl. NCBI's taxonomy places the organism in Eukaryota, Metazoa, Chordata, Mammalia, Artiodactyla, Bovidae.
CUUCUUGACAGCCUUCCUGGAUUAGAGCUGAUUUUGGCGAAUGGGAUUUCUGUUUUCUCUUCCUUCAUAUUGACUCAAAUUUUAAAUGUAUCUUUUCUUCCUACACCUAAAGAAUUAUCUGACCUGUGAUUUCCUGUUUCUACCCUGCUGUUUAUAAAUCUUAUGUCUACACCAGCCUACGGGCCAAGGGCCAAGUAUAACACUUUUUGCUGCUUCAGAACCACUAUUUUAUUCUUUUCUCCAAACAUUUAGAAUUGGGUUGAAUGGUGAAAACAAUUUCAGGUACUUCAAUCUUUGCCUGAGGAGCUGUUGUUUAGUCACUAAGCCGAGUCGGACUCUUUUGCGACCCAAGGACUGUAGCCCACAAGGCUCCAUUCUCCAUGGAAUUUCCCAGAUACUAAAACCACCAUUAAAUGGAAGAAAUUAUCUACCUGAUGACCAUGAGCAUGUGGCCCCCAGACCUACUGGCACCUAAGGACUGAUAAUAUUAACUCCUGUGACUCUGCCCUUUUACUUCCCCGUCAGCCGAUUAGAGAACUGUGCACAACCUGAUCCUACCCUGGGCUGCCCCUCCCUCACUUUGUCUUUAAAAAUAUGCUUCCCUGAAGCCCAUCUAGGAAUUUGGGCUUUUUGAGCACUUGCUGUCCUGAACACCUUGCUUGGCACCCUGCAGUAAGCGCUGCACUGUCCUUCACCGCAACCUGGUGUCAGUACAUUGGCUUUACCUCUCAAGGGCAAGCAGACCCAAGUUUGGUUCCGUAACAUGUAUAGUUAAAAUUACUCAACUCCAUGUCGUUUAACUCACAGACCCACGCUAUAG